Molecule: ribosomal RNA, 524 nt
Filed under: Kregervanrija fluxuum
Lineage: Eukaryota; Fungi; Ascomycota; Pichiomycetes; Pichiales; Pichiaceae
Description: eukaryotic LSU rRNA
Rfam family: Eukaryotic large subunit ribosomal RNA
Source: RNAcentral
UCAGUAGCGGCGAGUGAGCGGCAAAAGCUCAAAUUUGAAAUCUGGUAGUUCUGCUACCCGAGUUGUAAUUUGUAGAAAACUGUCUUUGUUAGGGUGCCUGUCUAAGUUCCUUGGAACAGGACGUCGCAGAGGGUGAGAAUCCCGUGUGAUGGGUGGCCCGAGCUUUUAAGGCGUUUUCGAAGAGUCGAGUUGUUUGGGAAUGCAGCUCUAAGUGGGUGGUAAAUUCCAUCUAAAGCUAAAUAUUGGCGAGAGACCGAUAGCGAACAAGUACAGUGAUGGAAAGAUGAAAAGAACUUUGAAAAGAGAGUGAAACAGUACGUGAAAUUGUUGAAAGGGAAGGGUAUUUGAUCCGACAUGGGAUUUACUCAUCAUUGCUCCUUGUGGGUGGUGCUCUGGGUUUUUUCUGGGCCAGAAUCAGUUUGUGUGGCAGGAUAAAGGCGUGAGGAAGUAGCUCUUCUGGAGCAAUAUAACUCAUGUUAAUACUGCCUAUGCGGACUGAGGAAUGCGGUUUUUACCAAGGAUUC